RNAcentral lists this long non-coding RNA (222 nucleotides) under Brassica rapa (field mustard). RNAcentral's name for it is "long non-coding RNA (BRAP_LNC000922)". The record is from RNAcentral. Lineage: Eukaryota; Viridiplantae; Streptophyta; Magnoliopsida; Brassicales; Brassicaceae.
GUUCACACCCCUUGGGCUAUGAUACGUUCGUACCCCUUGGAUCGCGACAUGUUCGUACUUCCUGGAUCACGACACGUUCGUACCUCUUGGAUAACAAAACACUCACAUCCUUUAGGUCACGAUACACUCGCAUCCUUUGGAUCACGAUGCACUCGCAUCCCUUGGAUUACAACGCACUCCCAUCCCUUGGAUUACGAUAUGAUCGCACCUCUUCGAAAGUCU